GGGCACCCAAUCUGUCCUUGACGCCCUUUGGAGCACUGAAGAUCUCCUGCUGGAGAGAAUCCCUCCUGGAACAAGCUGCCCCAAGCCCAAGGGCACCCAGGCACACACCGCCAGGCUGAGAUGUAAGAAUCAAUUCUCCUGAGAGUUGGUUGGAGCCAGGAACAACAGAAAUGAUGGUGAUGGUCUGGCUAUGCUGCACGGUUGCCAAGGAGCCAGCUCGGGCAUUUGCUGCAACGUCUGUGGGAUACAGAGGUCACCGGGACAAGAGACACUCCAAAAAGCCAUGGCAAGGAAGAAAAGUUUUUCGAACUGAGAUCUGAAAGGAAAUCUUUGCCGAAAAGGUUUGCAACCAGCAGUGCAGACACUGGUGGAAGUAAAGACAGGUGGUUGCUGAAGAUGGGUCUUCCAGCUCAGUGCACUGCUAAGGGCAACACCACACUUCUGGAAAAAGCAGAAAAUGAGUCUUCCAUAGGAGAUAAGUAGUUCUUAUCAGUUCUUAUAUCAAGAGAUAUAUGUUCCAGUCAUCAGACAAGGUAUUCUACUAAACAAACUGAUUGGAUUUGUCAGUAUACAAAUUACAUCAUAGGUGGUUAGAGGGAGACCAGAAUGGGAGAAAGAUUACAAAGGAUAUCCUUUGGUGAAAUACUCAGAGGUAUCAACAUGACUAUUUUAAUCAAAGGAGAAGUUAGAAUUUAAGGGAAGGUAAAACUUUAAGCUACUCUUAACUACACAGCACCAGUGAUUAUGUUGCGCGGAGGCUCCAGUUAAUGACUCCUAAGAGGUAGAGCUCUAGUAUGGUAUGGCUCAAAAAAAAUGUGACACGAUCUGAGACCUUAGAGCUGUAGUCUGAAGAUUUUGAGUGGAAAUUGGGAUCAAAUAUUUUGAGGGUUGUUAAUUAUUUCAGCCACAUACACGCUUGUGGUACUUUUCCUUAAAUGAGCACUUUAAAACUAGUUUGUUUUUCUUUUAAGAUGUGGUCUCAUUUAAAUAAUGAUUGCGGUGAAAUUUUAUGUGUUAUUUUAUUGAGAAGAUCAAAGCAGAAGGCCAUAACAAUCCCCAACAGUGAAGUAAAUGCAUAGAUCUAGUGGAAGAAUAGUUGAGAUUAUAGUACUACAUGGGAGGCUAGGACUGAUAGGGAAGAAUUUAGGGAUCAAAAGUGAAGGAAACUGAAGAACUAAAGAAAACAUCUGUUUUGAGCUGAAGAGAGACUGGCUGAAAGUUGUUGGGUCAAA
This 1232-nucleotide long non-coding RNA is filed under the name Numida meleagris (helmeted guineafowl). RNAcentral's name for it is "lncRNA (ENSNMEG00000004463.1)". Lineage: Eukaryota; Metazoa; Chordata; Aves; Galliformes; Numididae. The record is from RNAcentral.